RNAcentral lists this ribosomal RNA (345 nucleotides) under Hippocampus kuda (spotted seahorse). RNAcentral describes it as "partial 12S ribosomal RNA". It matches the Rfam family "Bacterial small subunit ribosomal RNA", at positions 875 to 1359 of the family's 1533-position model. The record is from RNAcentral. Lineage: Eukaryota; Metazoa; Chordata; Actinopteri; Syngnathiformes; Syngnathidae.
AAGUAUUUUAAUUACAUCAUACUCGCCAGGGUACUACGAGCUUUAGCUUAAAACCCAAAGGACUUGGCGGUGCUUUACACCCACCUAGAGGAGCCUGUUCUAUAACUGAUAACCCCCGUUAAACCUCACCCUAUUUUGCCUAAUCAAUCUAUAUACCGCCGUCGUCAGCUUACCUUAUGAAAGAACAACAGUAAGCAGAAUUAGUAACAACCCAAAACGUCAGGUCGAGGUGUAGUUUAUAAUAGGGGAAGAAAUGGGCUACACUCAUUUAUUAAUGAAUACGGAUGGUAUAUUGAAACAUAAACCUAAAGGAGGAUUUAGCAGUAAGAAGAAAAUAGAGUGUUC